CCUCCAGCGUGUGUUGGUGUGCUGGCUAUGGGGAAUAGUUGGCGCGGUCAAGCGCGACUGACCAUGAUUAGUGGUAGGAAGUUGGAGGCAAUAACAGGUCUGUGAUGCCCUUUGAUGUUCUGGGCCGCACGCGCGCUACACUGACAAAGGCAGCGAGGGAUGGUCUUGGCCGGAAGGUCUGGAGGAUCUUGUGAAACUUUGUCGUGCUGGGGAUAGACGAUUGCAAUUGUUGGUCUUGAACGAGGAAUUCCUAGUAAGCGCAAGUCAUCAGCUUGCGUUGAUUACGUCCCUGCCCUUUGUACACACCGCCCAUCGCUACUACCGAUUGGAUGGUUUAGUGAGACGUGUACUUGAGGCGGCUGAGGCGGCUUGUGGGCACACUUCAAACUUGAUCAUCUAGAGGAAGUAAAAGUUG
RNAcentral lists this ribosomal RNA (415 nucleotides) under Microsporidia sp. clade VII. RNAcentral's name for it is "SSU rRNA". It matches the Rfam family "Eukaryotic small subunit ribosomal RNA", at positions 1341 to 1791 of the family's 1831-position model. Lineage: Eukaryota; Fungi; Microsporidia. The record is from RNAcentral.